CCGCGUUUUUUCCCACGCCAAACUCGACGGCGGCGACGGAGGUUACGUGUGAAAAAGAUUACGCGCGAAACGCAACGCAGCGCGCGAAAGAAAAAAAACCGUUGCCGGGUCCACAUUGAGUAUGCUCAGGGGCGGGCCUAGGACUAGGGCCAAUAGGGCCAUGGCCCUAGUCGUGGCCCAAAAUUUUUAGAAGCAAUUCUUCAAUUUUGGCUCAAGAAAGAAGCCUAUUAAAAAAAAAUAGGACAAACCAAAGAAACUCAGGCCUCACUCAGCCAGGAGCACCGCGCGUCGUCGCUCGCGCUCGCGUGCACCCCAUCUCGCACACGCCCCGCCGCGGCGCCGCCCCCCUACACGCCGCCGCUCCGGCCUGGUGGCUCGCGCGCCCUCGCCUGGCUCAGCUCCGGCCUCCCUCCUCUGCUCGCUGCUUCGAUCUUGAUCUGCUCGUUGCCUCGGCCUCGACCACAUCCAGACGGGCGGCCAGACGCGCUCAGCGCUCGCAGCUCGGCUGCUCGUCCCUCACGGUGGCCAGGGGCCCUCGCGCUCAGACCUCCGAGUAGCCUCGAACUUAUCGGAGCCGUGGAGUCCAAACCAGGGGUGGCCUACGGCCAAAGCCCAGAGGCUCAGAACUCAGAAGCGCCCGCGCCCGCGCCCGCCCCUGCCGAAGCCUGUUCGGCGGUCUAGGUGCCCACUGAGUGAAGAUAAAGAGGACGAGGACUAUUGCAUCGUAUUUCUCUCGAUAGGUAUUUAUUUUUUUUCAAUAUUUAUUUCAUAGCUAUUUUAUCGUACUAUUAAUUAUAUAGUUCAAGAAUUUCUCUGGAUUUACAAACUUUGUUUGAGAAAUUUUAUUUUCUGUGAUAUACAUAUAUGUGUAUAUAUAUGGUCCUAUAAAAUAUACUAUAGACUGUA
This is a long non-coding RNA of Sorghum bicolor (sorghum), 906 nucleotides long. RefSeq lists it as uncharacterized. Lineage: Eukaryota; Viridiplantae; Streptophyta; Magnoliopsida; Poales; Poaceae. The record is from RefSeq and is a predicted model, not a curated record. The transcript has 2 exons.